AACGAACGCUGGCGGCAUGGCUAAGACAUGCAAGUCGAACGGACUGUGUAGCAAUAUGCAGUUAGUGGCGAAAGGGAGAGUAAUGAAUAGGUAAUGUACCUUGGACACCGGGAUAGCGCCGGGGGCAACCCCUUUGCGAAAGUGGCGAUAAUACCGGAUGAAGUCGUUGGGGGGCAUCUUCCGACGACCAAAGGGCGGCCGCAAGGCUGCCGGUCUUUGAGCAGCCUAUUUCCAUCACCUAGUUGGCGAGGUAACGGCUCACCAAGGGGACGACGGGUAGCGGGUGUGAGAGCACGAUCCGCCUCAUCGGGACUGAGACACUGCCCGGACACCUACGGGUGGCUGCAGUAACGAAUAUUGGGCAAUGGGCGAAAGCCUGACCCAGCAAUGCCGCGUGCGGGAGGAAGUCCCUCGGGAUGUAAACCGCUUUUAGGGUCUAACAGCGAGUCGGUAAAUAACCGGCAAAGUUGAGUCGACCCAGAAAAAGCCACGGCUAACUCUGUGCCAGCCGCCGCGGUAA
Molecule: ribosomal RNA, 520 nt
Filed under: uncultured bacterium
Lineage: Bacteria
Description: bacterial SSU rRNA
Rfam family: Bacterial small subunit ribosomal RNA
Source: RNAcentral